Molecule: ribosomal RNA, 665 nt
Filed under: Psychrobacter sp. 11.5.053CC7
Lineage: Bacteria; Pseudomonadati; Pseudomonadota; Gammaproteobacteria; Moraxellales; Moraxellaceae
Description: bacterial SSU rRNA
Rfam family: Bacterial small subunit ribosomal RNA
Source: RNAcentral
UCGAGCGGAACGAUGAUAGCUUGCUAUCAGGCGUCGAGCGGCGGACGGGUGAGUAAUACUUAGGAAUCUACCUAGUAGUGGGGGAUAGCUCGGGGAAACUCGAAUUAAUACCGCAUACGUCCUACGGGAGAAAGCAGGGGAUCAUUAGACCUUGCGCUAUUAGAUGAGCCUAAGUCGGAUUAGCUAGAUGGUGGGGUAAAGGCCUACCAUGGCGACGAUCUGUAGCUGGUCUGAGAGGAUGAUCAGCCACACCGGGACUGAGACACGGCCCGGACUCCUACGGGAGGCAGCAGUGGGGAAUAUUGGACAAUGGGGGGAACCCUGAUCCAGCCAUGCCGCGUGUGUGAAGAAGGCCUUUUGGUUGUAAAGCACUUUAAGCAGUGAAGAAGACUCUUCGGUUAAUACCCGGGGACGAUGACAUUAGCUGCAGAAUAAGCACCGGCUAACUCUGUGCCAGCAGCCGCGGUAAUACAGAGGGUGCAAGCGUUAAUCGGAAUUACUGGGCGUAAAGCGAGCGUAGGUGGCUUGAUAAGUCAGAUGUGAAAUCCCCGGGCUUAACCUGGGAACUGCAUCUGAAACUGUUAGGCUAGAGUAGGUGAGAGGGAAGUAGAAUUUCANGUGUAGCGGUGAAAUGCGUAGAGAUCUGAAGGAAUACCGAUGGCGAA